UGGGACCCCAUUCUGGGAGGCCCUCGCCACCCUGCCACCCCUGUAUUCUCUGCUUUUCAUGUGGUAAUUCAUGGUUUAUUUCAGCAGAAAAACAAAACUCUGCCUGAGAAAAGCCUGCCCCACUUGGCCCUCGCUGUGCCUUAGACUGAAGCUGAAAUCCUGCUUGAUUUGGAUUUAUUUUCCGGAAUUAUCUGCGUGUGUGGCAGGGCUGUUUGGCAAUCUCCUGCCCUCUGCAGAUGCUCUGUUCUCCAGGCAGCACUGGGCUCCUGGAAGGAUGCUCCACAUCUCUGCAGGGCAGGAGAGCCUCUGAUGAAAGGGCUGCAAAUUGGGCCAGUCCCCGAGGGAAGCAAUUCCAGGGAUAAAAGCAGUUCUGUCGCCUCUGGGCCGUGGUGUCUGCAGGGCCCAGGGCUGUGCUGUGUCUCCUGCAGAAGACAAAGUCCUGGCCCGUGUGUGCUGUGGCUCACAGUGCAAAUGCCAUUCCUCACCUGUGCCUCUGCCUGCACAGCACGCUCAGGAGCUGUGCUGAGCGAGCUCUGCCCUGCCAGGAGAUGUUUCUGCUUUUUAUCUUCACGAAUGACCACGUUAUUUAUCUAUUGGAACGCGCCCAACACCAACAAGUGCUCAUGCAAGCAGCGAGCAAAAGCUCCCAGCAAACAGUGUGACACUAAUCUGUUGUUUGUGCUAAAAUACAGAGGAAAUUACUGCUUGCCUGUCAUGAAGCUCAUAAAGGAAAAAAGAAAAAUGCCACCGCAAAAGAAUGAGCUUCAAAAGAAAGUUCCAUUAUCAGUUUGUUUCAUGCCUUGUAGCUCCAGCUGCAAACAAUCCCUUCCGUGAACACCCCCUCAAGAUAAAUGGCAGCACAAUUCGGGUGCUAUCGGGGAGAUAAAGCCACGAGUCGCCUGUUUGGGGAGGGAGGAUCUGCUGCUUUAUUUUGUAACAUCUCAUCACCAUCUUGGGGGAGCAAAUGAAUAUGUAUCGUCUGUUAUCUUGUCAUUUUGGAGCCAAACAACUUAAAAUACGUUUUCUGUGAAAUAACCCCGGGGAUUUCAAGACCAGAAUAAAUUAUUAGAGCAAUUUGAGCUCGGAGUCUCUGCACUUGCUUGGAACGUGGUAAAAGCUCUUCCUGGUUUGUGGGAGCUGCUUUUGCUUAGGAAGCAAAGGGGGAAAAAGAGGGGAAAUAACCCCCAAAGCUUUCCUAGCCCAGACACCUCUGCCAAAGCAGGGAACCUGUGGGGUGGGAAAUGGCCUCUUCCCCAGGAACAGGGACAGGAUGGGGGAAUGGCCUCAGGCUGGGACAGUGGAUGGUCAGGUGGACAUUUAGGGAGAUUUCCCCAUGGAAAGGGUGGGCAGGGGGUUUGGAGCGCCCAUCCCUGGAGCUGGCACUGGGAGCUCUGGGCUGGGCACAGGCUGGUGUGAAGGUCUGGGAGGGAUUUCCCAGCGGAAAAGAUUUUGGGAUUUACAGGCACAGCUGAUGAGGGCUGGGCCUGCAGCCUGUGGUGGCGUGGGCACGGAUCUGGUGGCAAAUGCCCUUCCAGGCUGUGGCACUGGUUCCUGUUCGGUAACUGGUGCUGGGAUUUCUGAGAAUUCUCUGGUUCUGCGAUCCUCAGGCUGAGCAGAGCCCCGUGCCAGCCCAGCGGCCCCUGGGCUGUGCUCUGCUCCUGGCGCAGCUCUUCCAGGGCUGGAAAAGGCAGGAAUUAACUCCUUUAAUGAACACGUCACUCCUUCCUGAACACGGACAGCCGAGAGGACAGAGCAGAUGAAGAAAAGACGGGAUUUUAGCUGUUGCCACGUCCUGCUGCUGCAGCUGACUGUGUGGGCCAGCCACAGGCCUGAGCCAAGCUCUGGAGCCAGGCCUGUGACAAUCCAUGCAAAUCUAAGCUCUAAUCCUUUUGUAUUGAUGGAAAUUAAACUUUUAUUCUUGCCAUGGAUAUGGGAGCCUGAAAUUCACUUUGGGAAAAAAUUCAGGGUUUUAUUUUUGGCUCCACUUUCACAAUUACUCAGCCCAGGGCGUUUUUAUGCUGCAGCUCCAUU
Taeniopygia guttata (zebra finch) is the source of this 2031-nucleotide long non-coding RNA. Lineage: Eukaryota; Metazoa; Chordata; Aves; Passeriformes; Estrildidae. The record is from Ensembl.